Molecule: long non-coding RNA, 2116 nt
Organism: Salvelinus fontinalis (brook trout)
Lineage: Eukaryota; Metazoa; Chordata; Actinopteri; Salmoniformes; Salmonidae
Exons: 4
Source: RefSeq, a predicted model, not a curated record
ACCCUAGAGGUCAAACAAGGAAGUGGUUCCAAUCGUUUUUCCACCAUUCAUUUUUCACAUAAGGGAUUUUAGAAACACUAAGAAUAAGGGCUGUGUUUCAUGUAGGUAGGCUUACCCUGGCGUGACAUUUUGAUAACCGUGUAUAUCUCUAAAAUAGCGAUAUAUUCGCCUGUAUUCCCCCCCCCUAAAAAAAAAAAACCGAAACGCUAUUUAGAUGCUAUUGUGGCUAUCAUAAAUAGCUGCAAAUGCCAUGAUGAUCUGGAUGAGACUGCCGAAUCUAGGCAAAGGUAAGAAUCUCUGGAUUAACUAUCUAAUGUUAGUUACAUGUAGUAAUAAAUUAUUAAUAAAUUGGCUACAUUUCUUUAACUUCUUCAGGAUCAGUUGAGCUAACGUAGGCUAAUGCGAUUAGCAUGAGGUUGUAAGUAACAAGAACAUUUCACAGGACAUACACAUAUCUGAUACGGGCAAUUAAAUUAUUGUUAAUAUAACUGCACUGUCCAAUUUACAGUAACUAUUACAGUGAAAGAAUACCAUGAUGUUGUUUGAGGAGAGUGUACUUGAAAAGUUAUUAAUAGACCAAUUAGGCACAUUUGGCCAGUCUUGAUACAACAUUUUGAACAGAAAUGCAAUGGUUCAUUGGAUUAAAUUGACAAUUCUUUGACCUGUCUUGUGCAAGUUUUAAAUUGACACAAUACCUGUUAGCAAAGGUGUCAGCUAGAGAAGAUGUGCAAGGAGCUUGCAGGGAUUUGUAGUCUUGCAUGAUGUCUACGUUGACGCUAAUUAGCAUUUUUCGAAUCUAUAGCGUAAAUAGAGCCGAAUAUAAUAAUAAAAGUCACCUUGUCCGAGAGAGAUUUACAUGGUUAUCAAAACGUCAAGCCAGGGUAAACCUACACAAAACACAGCCCUUAUUUUAAGUGUUUCUAAAAUUCCCUAUGGGAAAAAUGAAUGGUGGAAAAAUUGGAGCCGUUUGACUGCUAAGUACAGUGGCUGCUCCACUUAAAGUUUUGUGACUAUUCUCUGGGAUUUAGAGGGUUAGGACUGUAACCACCAGAGGACUUGAAAAUGAGCCAGAGCUGAGAGGAUCACCACAACUAAAAGAGCAUACAACCAUGCCGACAAUCAUCCGUGGACAUCAGUGGACAAAGGGCUGGACAACAGGCAGCACCGAAAAAACGCAUGGUUGCCAAGAAAGCGGCCACUGUAAUCGAUGGGGGCUCAGGGCGGUACCAUUCUGCUCAUUUGAUGAAGGUGCACAUGGAUCUGAUUCAAACUUUGAAGAUCGAGAUCGAGUCAUUGAAGGCAGACCAGCAGAAAGGGAAACAUUAUCUGAUCCACCACCGACAGGCAGAGUCAACAUACCUCACGGGUUCAUCCGGUCGUCAGUUCACGUUCAAGGCACACUUAACCAGCAUGGUUACCACAGCAUUCUACAGCGAUACGCCAUCCCAUCUGGUUUGCGCUUAGUGGGGCUAUCAUUUGUUUUUCAACUGGACAAUGAUCCAAAACACAUCUACAGACUGUGUAAGGGCUAUUUGACCAAGAAGGAGAGUGAUUGAGUGCUGCAUCAGAUGACCAGGCCUCCGCAAUCCCUGACCUCAACAAAUUGAAAUGAUUUGGGAUGAGUCGGACCACAGAGUGAAGGAAAAUCAGCCAACAAGUGCUCAGCAUAUGUGGGAACUCCAAGACUGUAGGGAGAAGCAUUCCAGGUGAAGCUGGUUGAGAUAGUGGCAAGAGUGUGCAAAGCUGUCAUCAAGGCAAAGUGUGGUUAUUUGAAGAAUCUCAAAUAUAAAAAACAUUUUGAUUUGUUUAACACUUUUUUGGUUACUACAUAAUAACAUAUGUAUUAUUUCAUAGUUUUGAUGUCUUCACUAUUAUUGUACAAUGUAGAAAAUAGUAAAAAUAAAGAAAAAGCCUGAAACUUUUGAACGGUAGUGUACAUUGUAAUUAUGACCACUUCCGGACAGGGUUGGGGAGUAACGGAUUACAUGUAAGUGUGACAGUUACAUGUAAGGGAUUACCCAAAAACUGUAACUGUAAUGUUAAAAUAUAGUUGUAGACGGAUGAACCUUGUCACGUGUCUAUUCAAUGUUUGAUUCAACAAGUAAAGCCUUUCAGU